Long non-coding RNA from Astatotilapia calliptera (eastern happy), 1392 nucleotides. The record is from Ensembl. Lineage: Eukaryota; Metazoa; Chordata; Actinopteri; Cichliformes; Cichlidae.
UUUUUUCUAAAAGUUUAUUAAAUGCUUUCAAGAGAUUUGGUCCACAUGUGUGAUCAUCAACUUCCAACCAGGGAGGAGAAAAGAGAAAAAGUCAAGAAGGGGAAAAAAAUAACAACAAAAUGUUGUUUUUAAAAAAGAAAAACAUACAAAACAAACAAAUAAACAGAGGCCUUGUUUUUUCCACUUCUUGCAUCCCUGGUUUCCUCAUUCGAAGUUGCCGAAAACAAUAACCCAAAAAAGAAAAAAAAAUUCGAACCUUUUGAAAACGGAUUCGUUCAGUCUUUUGUAGCUGUGUAGGUGUGUGUUGGUGCUGCCAAACACAUGACACAAACUUCAUCGGAGGGUGGGGGAGCCGGAGUGGCAAAGAGGCAACGGGAUGGUAGGUCACUUGAAUAUUUCUUUUUGGAGCAGCAACUGGGCAGCGUGUAACGUCAUUUCACUGCGGCAAGAUGCAUUAAAGUGAAGUGACUGGAUCAGGACACUUUAUCAGAACACACAACUUUGAAGUCAGGUGACAUUCAGAAGAAGCAUGCCUGUGUGAGCAACAAAAUUCAUUAUUUGACCCCCUUUAUUUUAAGAGGGGGGGUAGAGAAAAGUAAUUUCUUCCACAUAUACGCGAGCAAAUCUGGCUGUUUUAUCAGAUGCUUUGGCACCAGAAUCCGUCACACGCUCGAUAAGGUUGUGUCAUGAUUCGUCGGCUUUUAAACGGCACGCACACAACAAGCAGCCCAGACAUUUGCUUCUUUGUUUCCCCAACCUCUCUCACAAACACUAGGGAGAGGAGCCUCACCUCAAAUGAUUUGCUCUCUUAUUUAAACAGCAAAAACCUAAAUCCAGAUCGACAAAUUUUAGUCUAUGUUGGCCAAAUGGGAUUUUUAAAAAAACUCAAAUUAUAUUUUCUUUGGGUGAGCGCCACUCUCCUUUAUAGCCUGUCCCAUUUAACUCUCAAAAGCAAGAUGAGAACACAUUUCUGACCACAGCACACUUUUCAACAGCCACGGAAAAAAAGACAGCCCAUCAUCUCUUAUUCAGAUUACCUUAUAAGGGUGUCUAAGUAUUAUAAUAGGUAUCAAGUAUCAUAUACUGUAUAUAGUAAGGAGGGUUAUACAAUAGGGGUAUGUUAUCAUCUUAUAGGUGAAGUAUAUUGAAUAAGGCGCUAUACGGGAGUAUAUAAGCCUCUGUGUAUGCAGUCGUUUCCAGAUCUGUCCUUGCCCGGUGAAUCAGCUCAACCAAAGAGGCAAAGCAAAGGCAGUGAGCAGUGAGUUCUGCUGGUAGGAUCAAACUGAGACACUGCAAGAAGGAAAGACGUUACAGUAUAUAUACUUUAAUCAUCAACUAUCUAGUUUUACCCUUUGGUCCUACCAGAAGAUCUCAGAUAUAGCGCUCAUUUAC